This 253-nucleotide ribosomal RNA is filed under the name uncultured bacterium. RNAcentral describes it as "partial 16S ribosomal RNA". It matches the Rfam family "Bacterial small subunit ribosomal RNA", at positions 524 to 776 of the family's 1533-position model. The record is from RNAcentral.
UACGUAGGAGACGAGCGUUGUCCGGAGUUACUGGGCGUAAAGGGUGCGCAGGUGGCGGCGCGCGUGGGGGGUGAAAUCGCCCGGCUUAACUGGGCGGGGGCCUUCCAGACGGCGUGGCUUGAGCAGCGGAGGGGGACGUGGAAUUCCGGGUGGAGCGGUGAAAUGCGUAGAGAUCCGGAGGAACACCGACGGCGCAGGCAGCGUCCUGGGCUAAUAUUGACGCUCAGGCACGAAAGCGUGGGGAGCAAACAGG